AGGAGUAAAUUGAUCUACCUCGAGAAAGGACCCCAGAGAGUCUCAGACCCGCUGUUCAGGAUCGGCAUGAACGGUCCUGUGGAUGACCUCUGGCAGGAUGCACCCAUUGACCAAUCUCUUUAUUAUAUCCCUAUUGUUGAAGAGAUUUUCCCCCAGAUCUUCUUUGGAGCCAUCGGCCUCCUCGAUGGCAGCCCUGCUGCUGUGUCUCUUGUGGGCCAAUGUCUUCUUUCUCCUUCUCCAUUCGGCCCCUGGUGCCUCCUC
This 261-nucleotide long non-coding RNA is filed under the name Elaeis guineensis (African oil palm). Its description in RNAcentral is "long non-coding RNA (EGUI_LNC073395)". The record is from RNAcentral. Lineage: Eukaryota; Viridiplantae; Streptophyta; Magnoliopsida; Arecales; Arecaceae.